GUCCACUGCUGAACAUAUGCCUCUUUCAUGGAUUUCCAUGUUGUUCUGUAAUCGGCGGUUCUAUGCCAGGUCGGCCCUGCCGUCUUUCUGAUAUCGUCCGACCAUCUGGCUCGUGGUUUUCCGUCACCUCGGCUUCCCAGUCGAGGUCUCCAGAACAGUACUCGCUGGCCCCAUCGGUCAUCAUCCCUGCGACAUAUAUGGCCGGCCCAUUCCCACUUCAGCUGCGCAAUUCUUUUGGCGAUGUCGGUAACUUUUGUGAGUUGGCGAAUGUCCACCACAUUCUGAAUUCUGUCUUGAAUGGAUAUCCCGAGCAUCACGCGCUCCAAAGCUCUCUGUGCGACUUUUAACUGGCGGACCCUUCCGACAGUCAACGUCCAUGUCUCGCAUGCGUAGGACAUUACUGGGAGGACGCAUUGAUUAUAAACCCUGGUUUUCAGUGUGCGGGAUUUUGGACCUGAAAACAUCGCCCAACUUAACUUGCCAAAUGCGCCCUAUCCCAACUGAAUGCGCCUACUAAUUUCAGCAUCCAAGGGGUUACCGUCUAGCGUUAUUUUCUGACCCAAAUAUACAUAAUCGCUUACUCUCGCCAUCGUUUUGCCUUCCAAUGAAAUGGUUGCCUUUCCAGCAAUGCUCAUCAGCUUUGUUUUUUCCAUGUCCAUUUUUAGACCAACUUGCAUCGAUGCCUGGCUUAGAGCAUUUGUUCGAAAUCAUCAGGUGUCUCUGCGAGUAGAACGAUGUCGUCAGCAAACCGUAGGUGGUAUAAGUACUUUCCAUCUAUUUUGAUACCUAUGCCGUCCCAGUUGCGGUGUUUAAAUACGUCUUCUAGUGCACUUGUGAAAAGCUUUGGAGAUAUUACGUCACCUUUGGAGAUAUUACAAACAUAAUACCUACUAAUGUGCAGAUUUAAAAUAUCUGUGCAUAUUUUUUUACAGUAAAUUCCAUUGAGGGCUAAUUAAGAUAGAUAUAAAAUAAAAAAACAACACAAUUGCUAAAGGACAUAAUACAUAAACGAAGUAUUACAAUCAACGUCAAAUGCAUAUAUCCAUUUUAUACUUUAUUAUAAUGGUAUAAAGUCUAAAAUUGGAAACACGAGAUUGAUGUCGUCAGAGGCCCUACCGCGAACAACGAAGUUCGCAAAUUGCGGGCAUCUCUUUCUUUUACUCCAGUAAAAGCGUAAUUAGAGUGACAGGGAACGGUGCCCGCGAUUUGCGAACUUCGGUGUUCGCGGUAGGCCCUCUAAACCCAGUCAUAUAGUUCGUGUCAUCCAUGAUGAUGCGCAGAUUUGUCAAAUCUAACCUUUAAUAAAAUAAUAUUACGAGUGAAGGCACGCAUCGUCGUGAAUGACACGAUCUAUAACACCUGUUCAAAUUCAGGGGGUAUAAAAGAUGUGAAACAUGUUGGUAUGACUAACUAUUCGAGUUAAUUAACUACACAAUGUUGUACAAAUUUAUGCUCUUGGUGGUGCUUUUUAUUUUGAGUACCCAAAUAACUUUUCUGAAUGCUGCCCCAGCCUCACAUUACCACAAUGCAUUCCAAUCUGCAGUGGAGUUUCCAGUUUGUACCAUAUAAAAACUAUGUGUAAUAAAUAAUUUCAACAUUUC
Long non-coding RNA from Cydia pomonella (codling moth), 1601 nucleotides. RefSeq lists it as uncharacterized. The transcript is spliced from 3 exons. The record is from RefSeq and is a predicted model, not a curated record. NCBI's taxonomy places the organism in Eukaryota, Metazoa, Arthropoda, Insecta, Lepidoptera, Tortricidae.